GCAGCCGCCACGGUAAUACGUAGGUGGCAAGCGUUGUCCGGAAUUAUUGGGCGUAAAGGGCUCGCAGGCGGUUUCUUAAGUCUGAUGUGGAAGCCCCCGGCUCAACCGGGGAGGGUCAUUGGAAACUGGGAAACUUGAGUGCAGAAGAGGAGAGUGGAAUUCCACGUGUAGCGGUGAAAUGCGUAGAGAUGUGGAGGAACACCAGUGGCGAAGGCGACUCUCUGGUCUGUAACUGACGCUGAGGAGCGAAAGCGUGGGGAGCGAACAGGAUUAGAUACCCCCGUAGUCCCUGUCUCUUAUAC
This 302-nucleotide ribosomal RNA is filed under the name uncultured bacterium. RNAcentral's name for it is "partial 16S ribosomal RNA". It matches the Rfam family "Bacterial small subunit ribosomal RNA", at positions 508 to 807 of the family's 1533-position model. The record is from RNAcentral.